UUUUUAGGGUUCCGUAGCCAAAUGGCAAAAAACGGAACCCUUAUAGAUUCGUCAUGUCCGUCUGUCUGUCUGUUUCUAAUAUCAUUUUUUUCUAAACUGAAUAG
This is a long non-coding RNA of Cydia amplana, 104 nucleotides long. RefSeq lists it as uncharacterized. Lineage: Eukaryota; Metazoa; Arthropoda; Insecta; Lepidoptera; Tortricidae. The record is from RefSeq and is a predicted model, not a curated record. The transcript has 2 exons.